AUGUUGCCAAAAAAGCAUUUAUCUGGUUGUGCGAAAAGGAAAAAGAAGAAACUUGUAAAUGAAUUCACUGGAACUCAAAAGGGUGCUAUUCAUAAAUUCGUUUUAAAAAAAUCCACUGCCGAGAAUCCAGAGGUAUUAGCUGUUCAUAGUGUUGAAGAAGAACAAUCUAAUGAAAACUUAGUGGAGGAAAAUGUUGACAUCGACGAUUCUACAAAUUUGGGUGGCCAUGAGAAUGUUUCUGAUACUGAAAAUCCUAAAGAAGAUGGACACAAAUCUUCUAGUUUAGAUAUUCAUGACCCUAGAACUUGGGAAAUUCUUGACAAUAAAUCAAGAGACAUUCUAAUAGAGAAAGGGCCUACAAGGGAUUUAAAUCUUGUGUAUCAUCUAGAUGAUAACGGUAGACAUUUUUCAAAUGCCUACUACUCAAGAAACCUAAGUAAUGGGGAGGUUAGUGAUAGGAAAUGGUUGGUGUACUCUAAGGAUGCGAAUAAAGUUUACUAUUUUUGCUGCAAAUUGUUCAAAUCGGAAGGUAACAAAAGUCUGUUAGCAUCCGAGGGACUAAGUGAUUGGCAACAUCUUAGCCAGAGGCUCAAACUUCAUGAGAAUAGUAUUGAGCAUAUCACUAACAUGAAUACUUGGAAUGAGAUAAGGCCGAGACUAAAUAAAAAUCAAACAAUUGACAAAGAUUUGCAGCAAGAAAUUUCAAAAGAAAAAGAGCGAUGGAGACAAGUUUUAAUAAGAAUUGUUGCUGCUGUGAAGUUUCUUGCUAAACAUAAUUUGGCUUUCCGAGGAUCGAAUGAGAAACUUUAUCAAGAUAACAAUGGUAAAAUUUUGGGAAUAAUAGAAAUGAUGGCAGAAUUUGAUCCUAUAAUGCAGGACCAUAUUAGGUGUGUUAAAAACACUAUCAUAAGGAUAAUUAAGGAUGCCAAAUAUUUCUCUGUAAUUCUAGACUGUACCCCUGAUGUAAGCCAUCAAGAACAAAUGACUCUAAUUGUGAGGUGUGUAAACAUGUCAAAUAACACUACCAAAAUAGAAGAUUAUUUUCUGGAGUUCUUGAAGGUGGAUGAUACAUCUGGACUAGGACUCUUCAAUGAGUUAGUAGGUGCCCUUAAAUCUCUUGAUUUGAAUGUUAAUGAUGUUAGAGGUCAAGGCUACGAUAAUGGUUCUAACAUGAAAGGAAAACAUCAAGGUGUUAAAACACGUUUGCUUGAAAUAAAUCCUAGAGCAUUGUACAUGCCAUGUUCCUGUCAUAGCCUCAAUCUUACAAUUUGUGACAUGGCAAAAUCAUGUAGCAAAUCUAUUACCUUCUUCGGAGUUGUGCAACGAAUUUAUACAUUGUUUUCCGCUCCUCAGAUAUUGUUAGCUUUAUUGGAAUUGGAAAGAACUUCUAGUGAUGACCCAAAAACUAAGAGCGAUGCACAUUCUUUGGUUACUGCACUUACGAAUUUUGAAUUUUUACUUGGUAUGGUCAUUUGGCAUGCCGUUUUAUUUACCAUAAACACUAUAAGUAAGAAGUUGCAGUCUAAAUUUGUUUGCAUUGACACUACCCUUAAGCAAAUUGAAGGUGCAAUCUCAUUUUUUCAGAAGUACAGAACUGAUGGCUUUACAUCUAGUUUAAAUAUUGCAAAAUCUAUUGCAUCUACCAUGGAUAUUGAACCUAGAUUUCUGACAAAACGUCGUGUUACGAGAAAAAGACACUUUGAUGAAAAUAAUGACGAUGAAGAAAAUGUUAUAAAUGCAGAAGCGCAAGCAGCCGAGGAGGAGUCCUUUAGAGAUUUGAAGUCAUUUGAAAGUAUAUUUGGUUUCUUGUUCAACUCCGAAAAAUUGAAGUCUUUGGAUGAUAAAGAACUUAGAGAAUGUUGCACUAAAUUUUCAAAUACGUAUUCUCAUGGUAGCUUGUCAGAUGUUAAUUUAGAUGAUUUCUGUUCUGAAUUAAGAGUGCUUCAAAUGACUUUACCAAAUAGAUUAAUGUCAGCGGAUGAGAUUUUUGAUUUUGUUAGAGCUGCAGAUUGCUAUCAAAAUGUGUCUAUUGAUUAUCGAAUCCUCUUAACUGUUCCUGUUACUAUAGCAUCUGCUGAAAGAAGUUUUUCGAAACUAAAAUUACUAAAGAACUAUUUGAGAUCAACUAUGUCACAAGAGAGAUUGAAUGGCUUGGCCAUGUGCUGUAUUGAGAAACAUAUGUUGGACAACAUUGAUCUUGACACUAUUAUUAGUGAUUUUGCCUCUAAAAAUGCUCGAAGGUGUCGCUUCUCUUGA
RNAcentral lists this ribosomal RNA (2256 nucleotides) under Triticum aestivum (bread wheat). Its description in RNAcentral is "partial small subunit ribosomal RNA". Lineage: Eukaryota; Viridiplantae; Streptophyta; Magnoliopsida; Poales; Poaceae. The record is from RNAcentral.